UGCACAUGACAGUCAUAAUGCCCCCACUGGCUCUAAGAAUUCCUGAAACAAGGGGCUCAUCUGACCUGGUGUCAUGUGUGACCAUGGAGUCCAUCUCCCACGGACGUGAGCUGAGGGAGCAGAAGCCAGAUUGUGUGCCCUUCCCCACACGAAGAGCCUCAGGCAGACAUUGCCAAUUCACCUUUCCGGAGUUGUCUUCUGUUCCGCGUGGGGAGAAGAUGAUCGAGGGGGCUGCUGGGAGCAUAGGGGAGGCACCUUGUGCCCACACACAUCUGCGGAUGAACUCUUGGGGUCAUGCGGAAUGAACACCUACAACAGAGAGGACAAAGCUGUCCUGCAGUGCCGGGCUUACCUGCGCCACCGCCUGCAGCCUUUGCUUCCUGACUCAGCCUAACUCCCAAUGUCAGAAUAAAUGCAGGAGAGGGCAGUUUGGUGAUAAAAGGAGAGGAACUAUACUUGGAAAUGAUAUUUUUCUGCAUAUUUAGAACCAAAAACCCCACUGGUUCAUUGAUCUCUGUGAGUAAAGGGUUAAUAAAGCUCCCUUUCUGGAAUUGAAUCUGA
Pan troglodytes (chimpanzee) is the source of this 561-nucleotide long non-coding RNA. RefSeq lists it as uncharacterized. The transcript has 3 exons. The record is from RefSeq and is a predicted model, not a curated record. NCBI's taxonomy places the organism in Eukaryota, Metazoa, Chordata, Mammalia, Primates, Hominidae.